GACGGCGAGGUUAAAAUCUUCCUGCUUUACCUCUUCAACCUCAGUUCUUUCGCCGUUUCUCGAUUAGGGUUUCGGUUUGAUGCUCAAUGGUCCAAUGGAGGAAGUUUUCAGAAAUGCUUUUGGAUGCUCAGAAUUGGAGUGCCUUCUUUGAUCAUUGGACUCGGAAAGUGAAUUCGGAGCAUUGGCUUGAUUUAUCAUCACUAAUAUUUUCGGCUUCAGCUUUCUCCAAUUGUUGUUUUUUGUGAACAGUUUGGUUAUCACAUGAUUUACCUCUCUUUCUUGAUGAUUUUCCUAGCAUUUUUGAAUAUUCAAGAGCUUUAUCAGAAGGUUUGGCCUCCGGUUCAACGCCGGCGAGUCGGUUACUUUGACCUCUUUCCUUCUCUUGGAUUUAUUUGACUGCACUGAAACAUUUUUUGUCCCUGCCUCUUGUAACAUCUCUUGUAACAUUGUCAAGCAAAUUGCUUGGACUGUCCUUGCUUCUUCUGGUAACAUUGUCAAUCAACGUUUUUUGAGUAUCAGUUCCAUGUAUAGUGAAUCCAUUAUCAGUUGAAUUGUUUUGAUUUUGAAUAUCAGUAAAAAAAAAUGCAUUUGAGACAUCUGUAUUAACUUUACAAACUUCAACAGGUACAGGAGGAAUGGCUGCAAUUGAUUUGCCAAAGAAUUCUUCAUAAAGAGAUAUUUGGAGCUUGUUUAGUUCGAAAGCCUUGUCAUCCGAUUGCAAGAGUCUCUGACUGAACUGCGUGAGAUGAAUGGAUGCGGUAACAAGUCUGAUGCAGAAAGUGUUAAAUCCGGUUCCUUGUUAGUUGGUGCUUUCUGGUUCUUGUUUGAUGCAUCAUUUUUGCUGUGCCUCUUUCGCUUUUUGUUGGUCAUUGCCACAAUUCUAAUUUCUUUUUAGGCGAAACUCUGUCAAACUAAUGCUC
Lathyrus oleraceus (garden pea) is the source of this 920-nucleotide long non-coding RNA. RefSeq lists it as uncharacterized. The record is from RefSeq and is a predicted model, not a curated record. NCBI's taxonomy places the organism in Eukaryota, Viridiplantae, Streptophyta, Magnoliopsida, Fabales, Fabaceae. The transcript has 3 exons.